This 235-nucleotide long non-coding RNA is filed under the name Elaeis guineensis (African oil palm). Its description in RNAcentral is "long non-coding RNA (EGUI_LNC011820)". The record is from RNAcentral. Lineage: Eukaryota; Viridiplantae; Streptophyta; Magnoliopsida; Arecales; Arecaceae.
CAGAUUAUGCGAUCCAAAAAAUGAUAAUUUAAGUUCACAAGCAAAGUCCUGGCUGUCAGAGUUGUGUGCUUUUCUAGUGUUCACUGCAGGCUUCUUGGGAUCUAGGCAUUUCAUUAUAUUGGCAAGCUCAAGAACUGCACUGAGGCUAUGGUUGGGUGCUCCUGUUCAUCUUUCCAUGGACAUGAAAUCAGGCAAAGUGAUUCCCCCCCUACUUGUCUCCUAGUAAUCUCAUGGA